RNAcentral lists this ribosomal RNA (440 nucleotides) under uncultured bacterium. Its description in RNAcentral is "partial 16S ribosomal RNA". It matches the Rfam family "Bacterial small subunit ribosomal RNA", at positions 338 to 795 of the family's 1533-position model. The record is from RNAcentral.
CCUACGGGGAGCAGCAGUGGUGAAUAUUGCACAAUGGGGGAAACCCUGAUGCAGCGACGCCGCGUGCGUGAAUAAGUAUCUCGGUACGUAAAGCUCUAUCAGCAGGGAAGAAAAUGACGGUACCUGACUAAGAAGCCCCGGCUAACUACGUUCCAGCAUCCGCGGUAAUACGUGGGGGGCAAGCGUUAUCCGGAUUUACUGGGUGUAACGGGAGUGUAGACGGCAGCACAAGUCUGGAGUGAAAUCCCGGGGCUUAACCCCGGAACUGCUUUGGAAACUGUGCGGCUUGAGUGCAGGAGGGGUAAGCGGAAUUCCGAGUGUAGCGGUGAAAUGCGUAGAUAUUAGGAGGAACACCGGUGGCGAAGGCGGCUUACUGGACUGUAACUGACGUUGAGGCUCGAAAGCGUGGGGAGCAAACAGGAUUAGAUACCCUAGUAGUC